Non-coding RNA from Pelobates cultripes (western spadefoot toad), 353 nucleotides. Lineage: Eukaryota; Metazoa; Chordata; Amphibia; Anura; Pelobatidae. The record is from the annotation of a GenBank genome assembly.
GGGGACCAAAACACCAGAGAAGGACUUAUAAUAUACCAUCGUAAACCUAUCAGGUCCCGGAGCUUUGCCAGCAGGAAUCAUGGCAAUUGCAUCCACAAUUUCUUUUUGAGAUAUAAGAGCAUUAGUUUAUCCAAUGUAUCAAUUGAGAUUUGCUUCAGCUGGACUUUAUCCAGAAAACAGCUAAUUUAUUCCAUGGUAGGCUGCUGCACGUUAGGCUCAAAUGCCAAAUUGUAAAGUUUUUUAUAGUAGCUAGCAAAGGUAUUACUUAUCUUGACUGGAUGAGUCACUUUUAAACACUUCUCAGUCAAUAAAUGCUAGUUUUCCUGGUACUAUAGGGUCUUUGGGUCCCCCCC